CUCAAAGUUGGAACCUGCUUGGUGUAGCUAAGCCGGAUUGUAAACUAGAGAAGUGUUUUCCUGGCUGGCCGAGUAAAAAAGUCCUUUGGAACAGGGCAUCAUAGAGGGUGAGAAUCCCGUCUUUGGCUCGAGCAUUAGUCUUUUGUGAUACAUUUUCAAUGAGUCAGGUUGUUUGGGAAUGCAGCCUAAAUUGGGAGGUAAAUCUCUCCUAAAGCUAAAUAUUUGCGAGAAACCGAUAGCGAACAAGUACCGUGAGGGAAAGAUGAAAAGAACUUUGAAAAGAGAGUUAAACAGUAUGUGAAAUUGUUAAAAGGGAACCGUUUGGAGCCAGUCUGGCUUUCCUAUAAUCAAUCUAGGCUUCGGCCUUGAUGCACUUGUAGGUUAUCGCCGGCCAACGACAAUUGGGAUCGCGAGGGAAAAAACCUUUGGAAAUGUAGCCAUUCUGCAAAGUUUGGUGUUAUAGUCCUUGGGAAAAUACCUUGUGCUCGAUUGAGGAUCGCAGUGAAUGCCUUUCGGGGCAGGAUGUGGUGAGGUAGGUUUGCUUGACCUAAGGUGACUUUCGGGUUGCUUUAGCGAUGGCUUACUCCUUGCUUCUAUCUUUAUU
This 604-nucleotide ribosomal RNA is filed under the name Rhizopus circinans. Its description in RNAcentral is "eukaryotic LSU rRNA". It matches the Rfam family "Eukaryotic large subunit ribosomal RNA", at positions 108 to 617 of the family's 3401-position model. Lineage: Eukaryota; Fungi; Mucoromycota; Mucoromycetes; Mucorales; Rhizopodaceae. The record is from RNAcentral. RNAcentral also lists the same sequence under 1 other name.